GGGAGAGAGCCAGAACUUACCUGGUGCGAAGAAUAAACCUAGAAUCUCAGCAACACAGAAGAAAGAGAUUCCAAACCACAGUGACCAGGGGCCUCGGCCAGGCAACCUCAUGCAUGAGCCAAGGUCCAGGAGCCCCUGGUUUAUCACGGAACACCAAGAGGAGAGGACAUUCACCAAACUCACAGGACAUGAGACUUCCCAGCCUUCUAAAAAUUAGCUUUCCUAAUAACACAGGACCUACCAGUCUAGGAAUAAACUAUCCUAGCCAUGAGUGAUCAGAUGACAUCUGGGACCAAAGGCUCAUUUUUCUUCUAAAAUGCAUUAUCCAACGGAUUUUUAAAAAGGGGGCAAAUGUAAAGGAAAAUACCUUAAGCCCCCAAAUCACUAAAUUCAAGCUUAGAACUGCUUAUGGGAAACCUGCUUCCCGUUCUAUUCAAAGUCAUCCCUCUGCUCACUGAGGUAAGUGUAUCUGACUGCCUCCUUUGGAAAGGUGAAUCAGAAACUCAAAAGAAUGCCGUCAUUUGUCUCCCACCUACCUGUGACCUGGAAGCCCCUUCCUGCUUCAAGUUGUCCUGCCUUUUCGGACCAAACCAGUGUUCAUUUUACAUACACUGAUUGAUGUCUCAUAUCUCCCUAAAAUGUAUAAAACCAAGCUGUGCUCUGACCACCUUGGGCACAUGUUGCUAGAACAUCUUGAGGCUGUGUCACUGUGCACGACCUCAACCUUGGCAAAAUAAACUUUGUAAAUGAACUGAGACCUGCCUCAAAUUUUCGGGGUUCACAAGGUUUCUUUAUAAAUGCUUCUUAUAGAACACGAUUUUUUUACAAGUGAGGCAGGAGAAUAGGGUCUGGAGGCAGGGAACCCAGGGGCUUCACUGCGACCUCCUAGAACUAAAUUGAAAGGAGAACCCUAACUUUCCACACCAACUCCCUUUGCAAACCCCCACCUUUUCUGCGUGGCAGAUGGGAAACUUAAAGUACCUCUGAUUGGUUGUAAAAAGCAAAAUUAUGCUAAUGAGUGGUUAGCCCUUAUUAAAAAAAAUUAUGCUUUUUGCAACCAAUCAGACCUAACGAGUGUAACUAUGUAACUUCACUUCAGCCUCUGAUUGCAGGUCAAGUCUUUGUUUGCACGGAAGUCCAACUUUGUAACUUCACUUUAGCCUCUGAGGGUUGCUUUCUACAACCAAUUGCAGGUCACCACUUCAUUUACACGAGGUGACUACCAAGUGGCUAAUGGGAAGCCUUUACGUGGUAUUAGGGCUCUUGAGCCGCUACUCGCCCUGCUCCCACACUGGAGUGUACUUUCUUUCCUCCACCGCCCUCCCACCCCGCAACCCCGCCACCCCGCCACUCCCGCAACCCCCCUAGACGGAGUCUUGAUUUGUUGCCCAGGCUGGAGUGCA
Cebus imitator (Panamanian white-faced capuchin) is the source of this 1403-nucleotide long non-coding RNA. RefSeq lists it as uncharacterized. Lineage: Eukaryota; Metazoa; Chordata; Mammalia; Primates; Cebidae. The transcript is spliced from 3 exons. The record is from RefSeq and is a predicted model, not a curated record.